Molecule: long non-coding RNA, 313 nt
Organism: Calypte anna (Anna's hummingbird)
Lineage: Eukaryota; Metazoa; Chordata; Aves; Apodiformes; Trochilidae
Exons: 3
Source: RefSeq, a predicted model, not a curated record
UUUUCCUCCUCCCCAGGAAGGUCUUCCCGGCUGCCUGACCCAGGGCUGCUGCAGCUCCAGCCCUGUGGGGAAGCCUCGCAGUCCUGGCAGCCUCUGGAAGUUGAACAUUCCUGAGAAAUGCUCUGGAUGUUCAUGAAAUACCUCCAGCCCCCCCAUCGAGUAGACAUCAUCCUCAUGGCCAUCAAGAACAUGAAAGGCCCAGGGCAGUACAGCAGGAGCUGUCUACCUACAUGGUAGACAUCCUUGUGAGCCAACCUGUCUUCCAUACACAGCAUGGAUGACUUCCCCUCCACCAAGCAGCCCAUGCCCAUGC